This 159-nucleotide ribosomal RNA is filed under the name Halothiobacillus neapolitanus. The record is from RNAcentral. Lineage: Bacteria; Pseudomonadati; Pseudomonadota; Gammaproteobacteria; Chromatiales; Halothiobacillaceae.
CCUGGUGUCCAUAGAGCGGUGGAACCACCUGUUCCCAUCCCGAACACAGAAGUGAAACGCCGCAUCGCCGAUGAUAGUGUGGGGUCUCCCCAUGUGAAAGUAGGUCAACGCCAGGCUCCCCAUUCAAAGCCCCCCGUACAUAUCCUGUGCGGGGGGCUU